UACAGAGGUCUCGAGCGUUAGGCGGAAUCACUGGGCUUAAAGCGUGUGUAGGUGGAUGCCUAAGUACCUUGUGAAAUCCCACAGCUUAACUGUGGAACUGCUUGGUAUACUGGGUGUCUUGAGUCACUCAGGGGCGAGCGGAACAAAUGGUGGAGCGGUGAAAUGCGUAGAUAUCAUUGGGAACGCCAAUGGUGAAAACAGCUCGCUGGGGGUGCACUGACACUGAGACACGAAAGCCAGGGGAGCGAACGGG
RNAcentral lists this ribosomal RNA (253 nucleotides) under uncultured bacterium. RNAcentral describes it as "partial 16S ribosomal RNA". It matches the Rfam family "Bacterial small subunit ribosomal RNA", at positions 524 to 776 of the family's 1533-position model. The record is from RNAcentral.